GGCGAGAUGGCCGAGCGGUCUAAGGCGCCAGACUAAGGUUCUCGUGACACUUCUAUCUGGUCCGAAAGGGCGUGGGUUCGAAUCCCACUCUCGUCA
This 96-nucleotide transfer RNA is filed under the name Trametes cinnabarina. RNAcentral describes it as "Pycnoporus cinnabarinus tRNA". It matches the Rfam family "tRNA". Rfam says of the family: Transfer RNA (tRNA) molecules are approximately 80 nucleotides in length. Their secondary structure includes four short double-helical elements and three loops (D, anti-codon, and T loops). The record is from Rfam by way of RNAcentral. Lineage: Eukaryota; Fungi; Basidiomycota; Agaricomycetes; Polyporales; Polyporaceae.